UACGGAGGGUGCGAGCGUUGUCCGGAAUCACUGGGCGUAAAGGGCGCGUAGGCGGCUUCUCAAGCGUGUGGUGAAAGUCCGGGGCUCAACCCCGGAUCGGCCGUGCGGACUGGGGAGCUCGAGUUCUGUAGAGGCGGGUGGAAUUCCGGGUGUAGCGGUGGAAUGCGUAGAGAUCCGGAAGAACACCAGUGGCGAAGGCAGCGAAUUGGCGCUAUAUUGACGCUCAGGCACGAAAGCAUGGGGAUCAAACAGG
Molecule: ribosomal RNA, 253 nt
Filed under: uncultured bacterium
Lineage: Bacteria
Description: partial 16S ribosomal RNA
Rfam family: Bacterial small subunit ribosomal RNA
Source: RNAcentral